Molecule: long non-coding RNA, 2087 nt
Organism: Homo sapiens (human)
Lineage: Eukaryota; Metazoa; Chordata; Mammalia; Primates; Hominidae
Exons: 2
Source: RefSeq, a predicted model, not a curated record
AGUCAAGGAAAAUUUGAGCUAUCUGCAACUUUUAAAAAUUGAGUAAAGUAUAUUCCUGUGAAUAAAAUUUGAAGGUAGUUGUUUCUCCUUACCUGGUUUCUCCAGAAUUUGGAAACUAUUUGCCAUCAAACUCCAAAUGUUCAUGCAACUGGAGCCUCAUAUUAUGGCUGCCAUUUACCAGAGACCCUUAGAUAGGCAUAUGAGAGAGAUCUGACUGCUCUCUUUCCAAAACAGCUUACCUGUCAGCAGAAAGCAGAUAAGAGUGAUCACCAUCCUUUUCCUAAGGGCAGUGUACCUCUUGAUAGGGGAAAAUUAAUAGUGGCAGGAGACAGACAAAUGCCUAGGCAGAUAGGGGCACUUCCCUGGUAAAACCCUACCUUCAAGCCAAAAACAGCCUGAAGACUGAAAAACCAGACUGCUGGUUCCUGAUGAAAAACACAACCUGGAGUGAGAAAUUCUGUUUCUGUUUUCCUGCCCUUUUCCAUUUGGUUAUUUCUGAAUUAUACUUUUUAAUCAAUUGAAUGUUGCUUUUUCCAAGACUACCUAUGGCCUGCCCCACCCCCAUCCUGUGCCUACAAAAACUCCAGACUCAGCCAUCCUGGGGGAGAAACGACCUGAUUGCAGGAGUGGGGGACCACUCCUGUGUGCCCUCUCCCCGAGAGCUGUUCCGUUGCUCAAUAAAAUUAUUAUAGCAUGGUACUGGUACCAAAAUAGACAUACAGAUCAAUGGAACAGAACUGAGCCCUCAGAAAUAACGCCGCAUAUCUACAACUAUCUGAUCUUUGACAAACCUGAGAAAAACAAGCAAUGGGGAAAGGAUUCCCUAUUUAAUAAAUGGUGCUGGGAAAACUGGCUAGCCAUAUGUAGAAAGCUGAAACUGGAUCCCUUCCUUACACCUCAUACAAAAAUUAAUUCAAGAUGGAUUAAAGACUUAAACAUUAGACCUAAAACCAUAAAAACCCUAGAAGAAAACCUAGGCAUUACCAUUCAGGACAUAGGCAUGGGCAAGGACUUCAUGUCUAAAACACCAAAAGCAAUGGCAACAAAAGAUAAAAUUGACAAAUGGGAUCUAAUUAAACUAAAGAGCUUCUGCACAGCAAAAGAAACUACCAUCAGAGUGAACAGGCAACCUACAAAAUGGGAGAACAUUUUUGCAAAAAUAUCCAGAAUCUACAAUGAACUCAAACAAAUUUACAAGAAAAAAAACAAAGAACCCCAUCAAAAAGUGGGCCAAGGACAUGAACAGACACUUCUCAAAAGAAGACAUUUAUGCAGCCAAAAAACACAUGAAAAAAUGCUCAUCAUCACUGGCCAUCAGAGAAAUGCAAAUCAAAACACAAUGAGAUACCAUCUCACACCAGUUAGAAUGGCAAUCAUUAAAAAGUCAGGAAACAACAGGUGCUGGAGAGGAUGUGGAGAAAUAGGAACACUUUUACACUGUUGGUGGGACUGUAAACUAGUUCAACCAUUGUGGAAGUCAGUGUGGCGAUUCCUCAGGGAAUCUGGAGCUAGAAAUACCAUUUGACCCAGCCAUCCCAUUACUGGGUAUAUACCCAAAGGACUAGAAAUCAUGCUGCUAUAAAGACACAUGGACACAUAUGUUUAUUGUGGCACUAUUCACAAUAGCAAAGACUUGGAACCCACCCAAAUGUCCAACAAUGAUAGACUGGAUUAAGAAAAUGUGGCCCAUAUACACCAUGGAAUACUAUGCAGCCAUAAGAAAUGAUGAGUUCAUGUCCUUUGUAGGGACAUGGAUGAAAUUGGAAAUCAUCAUUCUCAGUAAAUUAUCGCAAGGACAAAAAACCAAACACCACAUGUUCUCACUCAUAGGUGGGAACUGAACAAUGAGAACACAUGGACACAGGAAGGGGAACAUCACCCUCCGGGGACUGGUGUGGGGUGGCAGGAGGGGGGACGGAUAGCAUUAGGAGAUAUACCUAAUGCUAAAUGACGAGUUCAUGGGUGCAGCACACCAGCAUGGCACAUGUAUACAUAUGUAACUAACCUGCACAUUGUGCACAUGUACCCUAAAACUUAAAGUAUAAUAAUAAUAAAAUUAAAAUAAAAUAAAAUAAAAUUAUUCUCCA